AGGUUGGCUUAGAAGCAGCCAUCCUUUAAAGAAAGCGUAAUAGCUCACUAGUCGAGUCGGCCUGCGCGGAAGAUUUAACGGGGCUAAACUGAUAACCGAAGCUGCGGACGCAUACUUGUAUGCGUGGUAGAGGAGCGUUCUGUAAGCCGUUGAAGGUGCAUUGUAAAGUGUGCUGGAGGUAUCAGAAGUGCGAAUGCUGACGUGAGUAACGAUAAAGCGGGUGAAAAACCCGCUCGCCGGAAGAUCAAGGUUUCCUGUCCAACGCUAAUCGGGACAGGGUUAGUCGGUACCUAAGGCGAGGCCGAAAGGCGUAGUCGAUGGAAAACAGGUUAAUAUUCCUGUACCGCUAUAUACUGCGAUGGGGGGACGGAGAAGGCUAGGUGAUCAGGGCGAUGGUUGUCCCUGUACAAGCUUGUAGGGAGAUCUCUUAGGUAAAUCCGGGAGAUCAUUAUCCUGAGGAGUGAUGUCGAGCUCAAUUGCGAGCGAAGUCAUUAAUGCCAUGCUUCCAAGAAAAGCCUCUAAGCUUCAGGUAUAUAGAGACCGUACUCCAAACCGACACAGGUGAUCAGGUAGAGAAUACCAAGGCGCUUGAGAGAACUAUGGUGAAGGAACUAGGCAAAAUGGUGCCGUAACUUCGGGAGAAGGCACGCCGAUUUUGGUGAUGGGAUUUACUCCCUAAGCUGAGGUUGGCCGCAGAGACCAGGCCCCUGCGACUGUUUAUCUAAAACACAGCACUCUGCAAACUCGUAAGAGGAAGUAUAGGGUGUGACGCCUGCCCGGUGCCGGAAGGUUAAUUGAUGGGGUUAGCUUCGGCGAAGCUCUUGAUCGAAGCCCCGGUAAACGGCGGCCGUAACUAUAACGGUCCUAAGGUAGCGAAAUUCCUUGUCGGGUAAGUUCCGACCUGCACGAAUGGCGUAACGACGGGGGCGCUGUCUCCACCAUAGACUCAGUGAAAUCGAAAUCGCGGUGAAGAUGCCGUGUUCCCGCGGCUAGACGGAAAGACCCCGUGAACCUUUACUAUAGCUUGGCACUGAACUUUGAAUCUAUCUGUGUAGGAUAGGUGGGAGGCUUUGAAGCGUUAUCGCUAGAUAGCGUGGAGCCACCCUUGAAAUACCACCCUGGUAUAUUUGAGGUUCUAACUCUGACCCAUUAUCUGGGUCGAGGACAGUGUCUGGUGGGUAGUUUGACUGGGGCGGUCUCCUCCCAAAGAGUAACGGAGGAGCGCGAAGGUACACUCAGCAUGGUCGGAAAUCAUGCUAUGAGCGCAAAGGUAGAAGUGUGCUUGACUGCGAGACUGACACGUCGAGCAGGUACGAAAGUAGGUCUUAGUGAUCCGGUGGUUCUGUAUGGAAGGGCCAUCGCUCAACGGAUAAAAGGUACUCCGGGGAUAACAGGCUGAUA
This 1401-nucleotide ribosomal RNA is filed under the name seawater metagenome. Its description in RNAcentral is "bacterial LSU rRNA". It matches the Rfam family "Bacterial large subunit ribosomal RNA", at positions 1098 to 2487 of the family's 2925-position model. The record is from RNAcentral.